UACCACAAUUUUAUGUUUGGUGUCAUUUCUGUUUGGCUACAGCACAUCAAUGGUCUUAUUCCUAUAUGUAAUUGCCUUCAUGUUUCGCAACAAAUGGCAUGCUAGCAGUUUUUGGUCAUUCGUCUUAAUCUUGGUGAACGUGCUUGCUUUGAUUAAUGGAGUCUUUGCAAUCGACUAUGUGCAUUAUCUACUAAUAAUAAUUCUUCCCCUGUUUACAGCAACAGAAUUUAUGUUUAGUUUCACGGCGAUGUUGAGUGUACCGCUUUAUGAUGGAGAGAGACCAUUAGUGAAUCUGAUCUGGGCGGCUUCCUUUAUGCCUUACUUCCACAUUGUGGUUCUCAUUCUUUUACUUCGCUGUCUGACGGCGAAAUAUGGCAGGCCAGUUAUGAGAAGAGAUCCUGUGUUUAGGAUUUCUCCACAGAGAAAGAGCAGCCAUCGGAAUCCUGAAGAGGACAGUCAGGGCGAUGAUAGAGAUGUUCAAGAGGAAAGGGCAAGAGUUCAGAGUGCACUGGCCUGUGCAAAUCAGGAAGAGAGACCAGUUAUCCUAGUCAGCAAUUUGCGCAAAGAAUACAGAAGUGAGAAGGCUUGUUCCUGUGGCAAGAAAAGCAAGACGCUGGGGAAAGUGGCCACCAAAAGUGUCUCCUUCUGUGUUAAAAAAGGAGAAAUUUUGGGGCUACUUGGACCCAAUGGAGCUGGUAAAAGUACAACAAUGAAUAUGAUAACUGGAGACACAGAUCCAACAGCUGGACAGAUCCUGAUGAAAGGAGCUGAUGCAGCUGCAACGGAAGAAAAUGCUGUCGGUUUUCUUGGCUACUGUCCCCAAGAGGAUGCCCUCUGGCCCAGCCUGACCAUGAAAGAACAUCUGGAGAUUAAUGCAGCUGUGAAAGGGAUGCAGAAAGACUCAGCUGGUGUUGCUAUCAGUCGAAUAGUUCAUGCUCUAGAACUCCAGGACCAUUUGAAAACGGCUGCUAAGGCAUUACCUGCUGGACUGAGAAGGAAAUUAUGCUUUGCCCUGAGCAUGCUGAGUAAUCCUGCAGUGAUGCUAUUAGAUGAACCAACAGCAGGAAUGGAUCCUAAAGGAAAGCGCCAAGUGUGGAAAGCAAUCCUCACUGCGCUGAAGGACAAAGACCAAGGAGCCAUUUUGACAACUCACCACAUGGAAGAAGCUGAGGCAGUGUGUGACAGAGUAGCUAUCAUGGUGACUGGACAGCUCAGGUGUCUUGGUUCUAUUCAGUAUCUGAAAAGCAAAUUUGGCAAAAAUUAUUUGCUCCAAAUAAAAGUUAAGGGCGUGGACCACGGGGAGCUUCUGAAUACUCAUAUUCUACAGAUCUUCCCACAUGCAGCUCGUCAAGAAAGGAUAUCCACUUUGUUGGCCUACAAGAUCCCAAUGGAAGACGCGCUGCCUCUAUCGAAGGCCUUCUCCAUGUUAGAGGAAGCUAAACGAAGCUUCAGCUUUGAGGAGUACAGCUUUUCUUUGAACACCUUGGAGCAGGUUUUCCUAGAACUUGUCAAAGAGCAGGAACGUGAUUGUUUCGAUCCAUCUCUGAGCACAGUCUUUGAAUGGCAACAGCUGCAGCAGGCUGAUAUUUAAGUUGUUCGCAACCUAGACAUGAAACAGAUGCUUACAGGAGUAAGUGCUGGUCCCUUGAAAUAAGAAGGAUAUAAGAAGUAUCUAGCAGCCCGUCUCUGAAUAAUGUUGUGUCUCCUUUGGCAUGUGAGACUGGAGUCCAGCCUUUUGACGGGAGGACUUUACAUAUAGCUCUACAUACAGGUCUGUGUGACCAAAACCCAUAUUGGUCAUACGUAGAGAAUGAAAUGUACCAUUUCUGGACAUGUUCAUCCCCUGGAAUUUUUUUGUUUUCCAGAAAAAAUGUUUUGAAUUUUUUUUUGGGGGGGGGGUGAGAAUUGAAAUAUAUGCAGUACAUAAUUCUUAUAUCAUCUCAGCUUAAUUUACUACUUAAAAACCAAAAAAUGCAUUAUGUAUAGCUUAGCACAUAAAAUUGUACUGUUUGGCAUAUUUAUCAGGUUGGAAAAGGGUAAAUGCCUUUGUGAUUCAGCUAUCCCCAGCAAGUCUUUUCCCACAAGCCACUCCACCCAGGCCUUCCUUCUUUUUCACUGCUCCUCGUCCUCUGCUGUCUUCUUCUGGCUGUCUCCAUGACACCAAGCACCAACAAGUCCAGCUGUCGCCAACUAACCAGCACCUGGCUAUAUAUGUACUUUUUUCUGGCCCCUCUAGUCCAGCUCCAGCCAAUGAUGCCAAACUGAAAAUUCAGAAAUUAUUGCAGCUGUUAGUUAAGGCCCCAAGCAGCAGGUAAACUAACUUCCACAGGGGCAGACAGAAAACUUCCCAUGUCAAAUGCAUCACAAUGUAGUACAAAUGUCAGAACAUAUUACCCAACAUCCAUUAAAACUUAAUUCAAAUAAACAUUACUUCAUCACACUUCAUAGUAACAUCGAACACUUUUGUAGUGUAUCGUCAUCUCAUACAGUAUGUGAAAUAGGAACUGUGGACAAAAUUAGCUGCAUAGAACUUCAUUUAAAUAAUAUGCUGUUUAAAAUCCAACCAUCUCAUGCUUCCUUCUUUCACCAGAAGCACUUUCUAGAAGAUUAUUUGCUUCCGAUUCUAAGCUUUCCUUUUUAUCUCCAUAAGCUCCAGAGAACUGAAGGGUUGCCUGAAUGAAAGAAGCUCAUCUACUAUUUAACAUUUCCAGGCACAGACAAGCUGCUCUGCACAUAUUCUUUUUGGAUCAAAGCUGUAUGAAGCUGGCAGGAAAAUUAACGGGUUGCACAUUCCCCACAAGAUUCAUGAAUUGUAACUACCUAAUACAGUACCUCGCUUUACAUAGAUAUUAGAAACCAUAAGGAAAGGAGGAAGUGAAAGACAGCUAAGGCUGAAGAAUGCUUUACUAAUCUGUAAUGCCAAACCAUAAAGAGGUCUAGAUUAUUAUAUUUUUAUUUUAUCUGAAAAAAAUUAUAUUUGCAUUUACAGAACAUAUAUUUGUGAAAAUUGUACUAAGUUACGACUUGUAACGGAGCAUAAUUUCUGUUUCUGGUGCUGUUGUUCAUGGGUUUAUAUUGUUAGAGAUUGAAGUAAAAUGAUGUAUGUAAAAUAAAGUGGCAAUACUUCUCUAAGAUUGUUUCCAGACAAGCAGCUCCUAGGACUAAUCUUUCUUCUGUAAACUACAAGUACUACAUUUUUUUUAUUAAUUAAAAAAAAAAAAGCAAAAUGGAAGAUUGGAUGGAAGAUUUGUUAGUACUACCAUCAUGAAGCCAGCACGGUGUCACCGUACAUCUGUCCAAGUCUACCGGAAGCACGCAUGUUAAAACAAAUGCAAAUCUGCUAGAACCAACAAUUUAACCAUCAAACUAUAGAGUGCAUCAGUGGCUGGAACAUCUUUAAUUUCAUAAGAAGAGAUAUAAGCGGCCAAUGGAACAGAUUCAUUGCUUGCCAUGGUUAUCAAAACAUUAGAACUGGGGUGUGCUGCUACAAAUUGUAAAGAGCUUGAAAAGGAACACAAAAAGUUAA
Podarcis muralis (Common wall lizard) is the source of this 3526-nucleotide non-coding RNA. The record is from RefSeq and is a predicted model, not a curated record. Lineage: Eukaryota; Metazoa; Chordata; Lepidosauria; Squamata; Lacertidae.